AAACCCUUACCGAAAGCAAUUGGAGGGCAAGUCUGGUGCCAGCAGCCGCGGUAAUUCCAGCUCCAAUAGCGUAUAUUAAAGUUGUUGCAGUUAAAAAGCUCGUAGUUGAAGUUCUGGCUGAUUGACCCUCGAGCUUCGUAGCCGAGGGCUCGUCAGUCAUCCGCUUGCAAAUAUAUGUUCGCCUUUAACCGGGCGGCUAUAUGAGUAAGCAAUUUACCUUGAGAAAAACAGAGUGUUCCAGGCAGGUUUGUCCGGAAUGCGUUAGCAUGGAAUAAUAGAAUAUGACUGAAGUCGAUUUAUUGGUUUGAGGCUUUAGUAAUGAUUAAUAGGAACAGUCGGGGGCAUUGGUACUUGACAGUCAGAGGUGAAAUUCUAGGAUUUGUCAAAGACUAACAAAUGCGAAAGCAUUUGCCAAGGAUGUUUUCAUUAAUCAAGAACGAAAGUUAGGGGAUCAAAGACGAUCAGAUACCGUCCUAGUCUUAACUAUAAACUAUACCGACUCGGAUUCAGAUGAAUCAUAAAGUUCAUUUGGGACCGUAGGAGAAAUCAAAGUUUUUGGGUUCUGGGGGAAGUAUGGUCGCAAGGCUGAAACUUAAAGGAAUUGACGGUUUUGCACCACCAUGGAGUGGAGUCUGCGGCUUAAUUUGACACAACACUGGGAAACUCAUCAGGGCAAGAAGAUUGUAGGAUUGACAGAUUGAGAGUUCUUUCUUGAUUGGUCUAGUGGUGGUGCAUGGCCGUUCUUAGUUGGUGGAGUGAUUUGUCUGGUUAAUUCCGUUAACGAACGAGACCUUAACCUGCUAACUAGUACACCGAUGACAAAUCGGCGAUACUUCUUAGAGGGACUAUGUGAUGUAAUCACAUGGAAGUUUGAGGCAAUAACAGGUCUGUGAUGCCCUUAGAUGUCCUGAGCUGCACGCGUACUACAAUGGUGCUUUCAACGAGCUUUUCCUGAUCCGAAAGGAUUUGGGUAAUCUUUUUAGUGAGCACCGUGCUUGGGAUUGAUCUUUGUAAUUAUGGAUCAUGAACUAGGAAUUCCUAGUAAGCACGUGUCAUCAGCACGUGCUGAUUACGUCCCUGCAAAAUGUACACACCGCCCGUCGCUAUUACCGAUUGAGUGUAAAGGUGAACCUUCUCGAUAGACGCAAGUUUAGAAAUUAAGUAAACCUUUGCACUUAGAGGAAAUAAAAGUCGUAACAAGGUUUCCGUAGGUGGACCUGCG
Molecule: ribosomal RNA, 1222 nt
Filed under: metagenome
Description: SSU rRNA
Rfam family: Eukaryotic small subunit ribosomal RNA
Source: RNAcentral